This 94-nucleotide non-coding RNA is filed under the name Escherichia coli. Lineage: Bacteria; Pseudomonadati; Pseudomonadota; Gammaproteobacteria; Enterobacterales; Enterobacteriaceae. The record is from RNAcentral.
GGCCGGAUAAGGCGCUCGCGCCGCAUCCGGCACUGUUGCCAAACUCCAGUGCCGCAAUAAUGUCGGAUGCGAUACUUGCGCAUCUUAUCCGACC